This 311-nucleotide ribosomal RNA is filed under the name uncultured eukaryote. Its description in RNAcentral is "partial 18S ribosomal RNA". It matches the Rfam family "Eukaryotic small subunit ribosomal RNA", at positions 1470 to 1796 of the family's 1831-position model. The record is from RNAcentral.
CCCCUAGACGUUCUGGGCUGCACGCGCGCUACAAUAAUACGCACAGCGAGUAUCACCGAGCUCGAAAGGGCAAGGUAAACAAUAGAAAAGGUACUGUAAUGGUUAUAGAUCCUUGUAAUUAUUGAUCUUCAACGAGGAAUUCCUAGUAAGUAUGUGUCAUCGUCACGCACUGAUUACGUCCCUGCCCUUUGUACACACCGCCCGUCGCUCCUACCGAUUGAGUGAGCCGAUGAAACUGCCGGAUGUAGGCUAUUUAUAGCCCGCAGAAGAUAUUUGAAUCGUAGCGCUUAGAGGAAGGAGAAGUCGUAACA